This 358-nucleotide unclassified non-coding RNA is filed under the name uncultured fungus. Its description in RNAcentral is "sequence contains ITS1". The stretch from base 1 to 103 matches the Rfam family "5.8S ribosomal RNA", at positions 50 to 154 of the family's 154-position model. The record is from RNAcentral. Lineage: Eukaryota; Fungi.
UAACUGCGUGCAGACGUGUGAACUGCAGGACACAUGAACACCGACGUUUUGAACGCAAAUGGCGGCUUGAAAUAAAUUUCAAGCCACGUCUGGCUGAGGGUCGGAUUUAAAAUCAAAAUUAAAAAUGCUCUUGCAAGUACAUGGAAAUGUCAAUGCAGAGUUUUAUCGUCAAGUUUUCUUAAAGCUUGAUUAGAAUAUCAAUGUAUGUUUGCUAAGUUUGGUCUAAUGUUUUGGGAGCAAGCAGCAGAUUUAUGUAAUAAUAAAAUCUGUGGAAGCAGCAACAUACUAUUGAGAAAACCAUUAUAAAAUGAAUCACAUAUACGACCUCAGAGUAGGCGAGAUUACCCGCUAAAUUUAA